Molecule: long non-coding RNA, 968 nt
Organism: Lactuca sativa (garden lettuce)
Lineage: Eukaryota; Viridiplantae; Streptophyta; Magnoliopsida; Asterales; Asteraceae
Source: RefSeq, a predicted model, not a curated record
ACAGUUCCUAUUAAAAAGGUGUAUUUAUAUUUAUUAUAAAAAACAGGCGGCAAAUUUGCUGCAAAUCUCGAUUUUUUUGGAGAAAAACCCUCGACGAUCUCAGAUGCGCACCACGUAGUCCACUUUUUUUCGUGAAACCCCUCUGGUAUCUGAGACCAUGUAUGGCGAUAUCGAUCAGAACCCCACCACCAACGGAUCAUCACUCCCUCUCUAGCAUCGCUUCCAUCCAAGAGACCAAGAGCUGAUAAGUUUAUAUAUUUUAUUUCAAUGGGUUGUUUUUGCAUACAAAUUAAAACUACACUGAUUGAAUGCGAUUGUAUUUGAAGCUGGUAAGUAUAUAUUACAAUAAAAUGUUUUUUACAUCUUUAUAUUACAGGAUGUUAUUGCAAUAAAAAGUCUGGAUGGGUUAGCUGGAAUUUAUCUAACACACAACUUUUCUAAACCACAUAAGUUGACCGACAAAGAAAACAUGUUUGCUUGGUGAAGAGUUUCACACAUUGGAUAUUUAUGUGACUACAUACUUCAUCGGGGUAAUUUUAUAACUAUAGUUCAAUACUUCAGGGAAUAUGCUUCCUGAACAGGUUUGCCCACCGGGAUGAUUUGACGUUUAUCGUAUUUUAUAAACAUUUGUAAAGUGUUUUACUUGGAAAACAAAAAACAUGGUGGAUAAAUGGUUCCUAUCAAUAUCAUAAUAGUGUAUGUUUGCUUACAUAAUACUAUUAUUUUUUCCCAGUACUUGUAAACUGGAUGACCAUGCUUUCAAAGAAAGUAUUGCGCACUCCUAUCACAAGGUCUAAUCUCAGUUUAUCUUGGAAAGGUCAGUAUUAACAUAACUAACAUGAUGUGCUCCUUUUCCAUAAUCCAUGUCCUUUGAUAGAGUUAUUUGUCAUGAUUACUAGACACUACCGAAAUAUGUAACAUGUAAUGUUGAAUGUAAUUACAAAUAUCAAGAUCUUGAUUCUUCAAUA